Molecule: ribosomal RNA, 359 nt
Filed under: uncultured bacterium
Lineage: Bacteria
Description: bacterial SSU rRNA
Rfam family: Bacterial small subunit ribosomal RNA
Source: RNAcentral
AUCGGAACGUACCUAGUAAUGGGGAAUAACUAGCUGAAAGGUUAGCUAAUGCCGCAUACGACCUACGGGUGAAAGCAGGGGAUCUUCGGACCUUGCGUUAUUAGAGCGGCCGAUAUCUGAUUAGCUUGUUGGUGGGGUAAUGGCCUACCAAGGCAACGAUCAGUAGCUGGUCUGAGAGGACGAUCAGCCACACUGGAACUGAGACACGGUCCAGACUCCUACGGGAGGCAGCAGUGGGGAAUUUUGGACAAUGGGGGCAACCCUGAUCCAGCCAUUCCGCGUGAGUGAAGAAGGCCUUCGGGUUGUAAAGCUCUUUCGCAAGAGAAGAAAACUUGCUAUCUAAUAAAUAGUAAGCAUGA